Molecule: ribosomal RNA, 229 nt
Filed under: uncultured bacterium
Lineage: Bacteria
Description: partial 16S ribosomal RNA
Rfam family: Bacterial small subunit ribosomal RNA
Source: RNAcentral
UGCGUAGGCGGAAUAUUAAGUCAGUGGUGAAAUCCUGCGGCUCAACCGUAGAACUACCAUUGAUACUGAUAUUCUUGAAUGUAGCUGAGGUAGGCGGAAUGUGUAAUGUAGCGGUGAAAUGCUUAGAUAUUACACAGAACACCGAUUGCGAAGGCAGCUUACUAAACUAUGAUUGACGCUGAGGCACGAAAGCGUGGGGAGCGAACAGGAUUAGAUACCCUGGUAGUCC